RNAcentral lists this microRNA precursor (148 nucleotides) under Myotis lucifugus (little brown bat). Its description in RNAcentral is "miRNA (ENSMLUG00000020497.1)". The stretch from base 46 to 97 matches the Rfam family "mir-1302 microRNA precursor family". Lineage: Eukaryota; Metazoa; Chordata; Mammalia; Chiroptera; Vespertilionidae. The record is from RNAcentral.
AAUACAGGAUGUGCAGUUAAAUUAGAAUUUUAGAUUAAAAAAAAUUUUUUAGUAUAAGUAUGUCCCAUGCAAUAUUUGGGACACACUUAUACUAAAAAGUUAUGGGUUGUUAUCUGAAAUUCAUAUUUAAGUGGGUGUCCUGUAAUUU